RNAcentral lists this ribosomal RNA (484 nucleotides) under uncultured bacterium. Its description in RNAcentral is "partial 16S ribosomal RNA". It matches the Rfam family "Bacterial small subunit ribosomal RNA", at positions 30 to 507 of the family's 1533-position model. The record is from RNAcentral.
AUUGAACGCUGGCGGCAUGCCUUACACAUGCAAGUCGAACGGCAGCGCGGGAGCAAUCCUGGCGGCGAGUGGCGAACGGGUGAGUAAUACAUCGGAACGUGCCCAAUCGCGGGGGAUAACGCAGCGAAAGCUGUGCUAAUACCGCAUACGAUCUACGGAUGAAAGCAGGGGAUCGCAAGACCUUGCGCGAAUGGAGCGGCCGAUGGCAGAUUAGGUAGUUGGUGAGGUAAAGGCUCACCAAGCCUUCGAUCUGUAGCUGGUCUGAGAGGACGACCAGCCACACUGGGACUGAGACACGGCCCAGACUCCUACGGGAGGUAGCAGUGGGGAAUUUUGGACAAUGGGCGAAAGCCUGAUCCAGCCAUGCCGCGUGCAGGAUGAAGGCCUUCGGGUUGUAAACUGCUUUUGUACGGAACGAAACGGUCUUUUCUAAUAAAGAAGGCUAAUGACGGUACCGUAAGAAUAAGCACCGGCUAACUACGUG